RNAcentral lists this ribosomal RNA (253 nucleotides) under uncultured bacterium. RNAcentral's name for it is "partial 16S ribosomal RNA". It matches the Rfam family "Bacterial small subunit ribosomal RNA", at positions 524 to 776 of the family's 1533-position model. The record is from RNAcentral.
UACGUAGGGUGCAAGCGUUGUCCGGAAUUAUUGGGCGUAAAGAGCUCGUAGGCGGUCUGUCGCGUCUGCUGUGAAAACUCAGGGCUUAACCCUGGGCCUGCAGUGGGUACGGGCAGACUAGAGUGCGGUAGGGGAGACUGGAAUUCCUGGUGUAGCGGUGAAAUGCGCAGAUAUCAGGAGGAACACCGGUGGCGAAGGCGGGACUCUGGGCCGAUACUGACGCUGAGGAGCGAAAGCGUGGGGAGCAAACAGG